This 433-nucleotide ribosomal RNA is filed under the name uncultured bacterium. RNAcentral's name for it is "partial 16S ribosomal RNA". It matches the Rfam family "Bacterial small subunit ribosomal RNA", at positions 29 to 507 of the family's 1533-position model. The record is from RNAcentral.
AACGAACGCUGGCGGCAUGCCUAACACAUGCAAGUCGAACGAACCCUUCGGGGUUAGUGGCGCACGGGUGCGUAACGCUUGGGAAUCUGCCCUUUGCUUCGGAAUAACUCAGGGAAACUUUUGCUAAUACCGGAUGAUGUCUUCGGACCAAAGAUUUAUCGGCAAGGGAUGAGCCCGCGUAGGAUUAGGUAGUUGGUGGGGUAAAGGCCUACCAAGCCGCCGAUCCUUAGCUGGUCUGAGAGGAUGAUCAGCCACACUGGGACUGAGACACGGCCCAGACUCCGACGGGAGGCAGCGGUGGGGAAUAAUGAACAAGGGGCGCAAGUCUGAUCCAGCAAGGCCGAGUGAGUGAUGAAGGCGCUCGGGUCGUAAAGAUCUUUUACCAGGGAUGAUAAUGACAGUACAUGGAGAAUAAGCUCCGGCUAACUCCGUG